UACGUAGGGGGCAAGCGUUAUCCGGAAUUACUGGGUGUAAAGGGAGCGUAGACGGUAAUGUAAGUCUGGAGUGAAAGGCGGGGGCCCAACCCCCGGACUGCUCUGGAAACUAUGUUACUAGAGUGCAGGAGAGGUAAGCGGAAUUCCUAGUGUAGCGGUGAAAUGCGUAGAUAUUAGGUGGAACACCAGUGGCGAAGGCGGCUUACUGGACUGUAACUGACGUUGAGGCUCGAAAGCGUGGGGAGCAAACAGG
This 253-nucleotide ribosomal RNA is filed under the name uncultured bacterium. Its description in RNAcentral is "partial 16S ribosomal RNA". It matches the Rfam family "Bacterial small subunit ribosomal RNA", at positions 524 to 776 of the family's 1533-position model. The record is from RNAcentral.